This 75-nucleotide transfer RNA is filed under the name Corynebacterium diphtheriae. RNAcentral describes it as "tRNA-Asp". It matches the Rfam family "tRNA". From Rfam's summary of the family: Transfer RNA (tRNA) molecules are approximately 80 nucleotides in length. Their secondary structure includes four short double-helical elements and three loops (D, anti-codon, and T loops). Further hydrogen bonds mediate the characteristic L-shaped molecular structure. tRNAs have two regions of fundamental functional importance: the anti-codon, which is responsible for specific mRNA codon recognition, and the 3' end, to which the tRNAs corresponding amino acid is attached (by aminoacyl-tRNA synthetases). tRNAs cope with the degeneracy of the genetic code in two manners: having more than one tRNA (with a specific anti-codon) for a particular amino acid; and 'wobble' base-pairing, i.e. permitting non-standard base-pairing at the 3rd anti-codon position. The record is from RNAcentral. Lineage: Bacteria; Bacillati; Actinomycetota; Actinomycetes; Mycobacteriales; Corynebacteriaceae.
GGCCCUGUGGCGCAGUUGGUUAGCGCGCCGUCCUGUCACGGCGGAGGUCGCGGGUUCAAGUCCCGUCAGGGUCGC